AGCAGCCGCGGUAAUUCCAGCUCCAAUAGCGUAUAUUAAAGUUGCUGCAGUUAAAAAGCUCGUAGUUGAAUUUCGGGACCAUCAUGUCGGUCGUGCCUCGGUACGUACUGGCAUUGUUGGUUUCUACCUUCUGACGAACCAUGAUGUCAUUUAUUUGGUGUCGUGGGAAAUCAGGACUGUUACUUUGAAAAAAUUAGAGUGUUUAAAGCAGGCUCACGCUUGAAUACAUUAGCAUGGAAUAAUGAAAUAGGACGUUUGAUUCUAUUUUGUUGGUUUUUAGGAUCAACGUAAUGAUUAAUAGGGAUAGUUGGGGGCAUUAGUAUUCAAUUGUCAGAGGUGAGAUUCUUGGAUUUAUUGAAGACUAACUACUGCGAAAGCAUUUGCCAAGGAUGUUUUCAUUAAUCAAGAACGAAAGUUAGGGGAUCGAAGACGAUCAGAUACCGUCGUAGUCUUAACCAUAAACUAUGCCGACUAGGGAUCGGAUGAUGCUAAUUUUUUAAUGACUCA
This 507-nucleotide ribosomal RNA is filed under the name Glomus sp. MO-G4. Its description in RNAcentral is "SSU rRNA". It matches the Rfam family "Eukaryotic small subunit ribosomal RNA", at positions 569 to 1078 of the family's 1831-position model. The record is from RNAcentral. Lineage: Eukaryota; Fungi; Glomeromycota; Glomeromycetes; Glomerales; Glomeraceae.